Molecule: ribosomal RNA, 480 nt
Filed under: uncultured bacterium
Lineage: Bacteria
Description: partial 16S ribosomal RNA
Rfam family: Bacterial small subunit ribosomal RNA
Source: RNAcentral
GAUGAACGCUGGCGGCGUGCUUAACACAUGCAAGUCGAACGAUGAAGAGAAGAAUCUGAGCUUCGGCAGAAAUUCAUUUCGGAUUAGUGGCAGACGGGUUAGUAACGCGUGAGCAACCGACUUAUUACAAAGAGAUAGCCUUGGGAAACCAGGAUUAUUACCAUAUCACAUUGCGACGAAGCAUUUCGAUCUAGUCAACGCUAUGGCGGUAAGACAUGUGCUCGCGUCCCGUUAACCGGGUGGUGGGGUAACGGCUCACCAGAGCGACGACGGGUAACCGGCAUGAGAGAGAGAGCCGUCACACUGGAACUGGGACGCGGUCCGGACUCCUACGCGAGGCAGCAGAGGGGAAUAGUGCAAAAUGGAGGGAACUCUGAUGCAGCGACGCCGCGUGAGUUAUGAAAGAAUUCGUGAAGUAAUACUCUGUUCUAUGGGAAGAAAAUGACGGUACCUAAGGAGAAAGCCCCGGCUAAAUACGUG